UACGUAGGGACCGAGCGUUGUCCGGAAUCAUUGGGCGUAAAGAGCGUGUAGGCGGCCACUUAAGUCCUGCGUGAAAUCUUGCGGCUCAACCGCAAGCGGUCGUGGGAAACUGGGUGGCUAGAGUGCGGGAGAGGAAAGCGGAAUUCCUGGUGUAGCGGUGAAAUGCGUAGAUAUCAGGAGGAACACCUGCGGUGUAGACGGCUUUCUGGACCAUUACUGACACUGAGACACGAAAGCGUGGGUAGCAAACAGG
This 253-nucleotide ribosomal RNA is filed under the name uncultured bacterium. RNAcentral describes it as "partial 16S ribosomal RNA". It matches the Rfam family "Bacterial small subunit ribosomal RNA", at positions 524 to 776 of the family's 1533-position model. The record is from RNAcentral.